This is a non-coding RNA of Poecilia reticulata (guppy), 761 nucleotides long. Lineage: Eukaryota; Metazoa; Chordata; Actinopteri; Cyprinodontiformes; Poeciliidae. The record is from RefSeq and is a predicted model, not a curated record.
CUCCAGGUGUGUUUUAAUGAUGGAAUAACAUUAUAACAUGAGGAAGAAGUAACCAAACAGAAAAAAAUGACCAAAUUUGGGCAUUAAGAAACAACCAGCUCUGCAGGAAAUCUUCAAUCUCAGCUCUAGAAACUAAGAUGGAGACCAGCAGCCAACUAAGCCAUUUCUCCACAGAAGAUUGGAGCAAAUUCUGGAAACGUCCAAAUUGGUUGUUUCUCCAGUUUCUCGAUGUAAAGCUGAAACAGGAACUGGGCGUGGAGGAAUCCAAGAACCGACAGAAACAUUUAAAACAAUUGGCUAUUCCCUACAUUUUACACCAACCACAAGACAGAACCAGAAAACGUCCAGAGUAAAAUCUCCCAGAAGGUUCUGAUGAAACCAAACUCAAACUUUGAACCACAACUGUAAAACAAAACGUCACCAAGUAGAUUUAAACGGGCCAGAAAAUCAGAGGCGUCACCUGAAGAAUCAGACAUUUUGGGUCGUUUAGUGAGACUAACUGUGGAUUUGGGAUGCUGACAGAAUCCCACCAACAAUAAAAACUGUGAUUAUAACAACGUGUUAUUUUAUAGAUGCAGACUUUUGUAAUCAGAUUCUUUGUUUUUUUUUUUUACGUCUUUCCCUCAUGACUUCCAGCUGUUUUAUGAAAAACAGAAUUAAAUUGAUAUAUUUCUCCCUUUAAAAGCAACCGAAACAUUUUCCUAAUUUCUUAUGUUUACAAAAGCAGCACUGAGCUGCAGCUUAAAGCUGAAUCACUGCAA